AACGAACGCUGGCGGCAGGCCUAACACAUGCAAGUCGAGCGAGGACUUCGGUUCUAGCGGCGGACGGGUGAGUAACGCGUGGGAAUGUGCCCUUCUCUACGGAAUAGCCCUGGGAAACUGGGAGUAAUACCGUAUACGCCCUAUUGGGGAAAGAUUUAUCGGAGAAGGAUCAGCCCGCGUUGGAUUAGGUAGUUGGUGGGGUAAUGGCCUACCAAGCCGACGAUCCAUAGCUGGUUUGAGAGGAUGAUCAGCCACACUGGGACUGAGACACGGCCCAGACUCCUACGGGAUGCAGCAGUGGGGAAUCUUAGACAAUGGCGGCAACCCUGAUCGAGCCAUGCCGCGUGAGUGAUGAAGGCCUUAGGGUUGUAAAGCUCUUUCAGCUGGGAAGAUAAUGACGGUACCAGCAGAAGAAGCCCCGGCUAACUCCGUG
Molecule: ribosomal RNA, 433 nt
Filed under: uncultured bacterium
Lineage: Bacteria
Description: partial 16S ribosomal RNA
Rfam family: Bacterial small subunit ribosomal RNA
Source: RNAcentral